Non-coding RNA from Meleagris gallopavo (turkey), 1201 nucleotides. The record is from RefSeq and is a predicted model, not a curated record. Lineage: Eukaryota; Metazoa; Chordata; Aves; Galliformes; Phasianidae.
CAUAGCAAAAUGCAAGAGGAAAGGUGAACUCCAAGCAGGCUUGAAAUACGUAAGUAGGUCGCUGAACUUUUAAUGCAGGAAUUGAUUUUAAAACUCUCUUCUGGCAUGAGAUAAUUGACAGGAAAAAUCACAUUUAAUUGUAAAUAUCUCCCUGCCUGACAGUGAUAAAGAGAAAACGAAUGCAGCCAGCUCUACAAGUGAUGUAUCUUCCUCAUCUUCAGCCACGCUGCAGCCUCUGGUGCGACUUUGUCAGGGCAUGUUUUCUGCAGUGCUCUGAGUGCAACAGCAAAUGCAAUGGAAGGCAAAGGAAACAAAAAGCCUGCAGGUACAGCCAGACCCUUCAGGACCCUUACGUGAGCCUCGGAGCAAAAAGCCCUACUCCUAGUUGCACUGAUUCUACUGUGGAAGUGAACUGAAGCUCCCAGCAACUCAACGGAUGCUAUUUCUGGGCCAGUAUGACAGCCUACAAGAGAACGAUCAGCAUCGCUCCAUAUUCUGCUCGAGUGACACCGCGGCACGGCUGAUCGCAGGAUUAUCUGGGGUAGCCAAUGGAUGGGAGGAUAUUUAUAGAAAUAAAAGUAUUCUCUAAGGUAUAAAGUAAGCUGAUUUAAAAGGCUGGAAUACAAGCAGGCCAACACGGAGAGGUGGACUCUAUCUCAGUAGCCACCAGCAUAGGUUACGUGGUUUGUGUACACAACUUGAAUCAAGAGCCAAGUAAUAGCCCAGGCUAUUGUGAUUAGUAGUAUUUUAUAAAUAUUAUUAAAAACUGGCACCCAGCAUUUUCUCCCUAGUUAGUGAAUGCUUAAGGUUAAGUAAAGCUAUGCACAGGCCGGUUUCUAAUAUACUACUUUUUUUUAAAUUGGUGUUAUGAGCAUACUAGUUAGGAAGACAGAAAGCAUUUCCUGACAGCUUGGUAGACUGGAAAAAGUAACUCAGCUGAGUUCCUUGCAGCAUGCAGGCACUACAAGGAACAAGCAACCCUCCCUGCACAAAUGCUGCUGGAUUAGCACCUCUGUGCUUGCAGACACAGUGCUGAAACCAACUUGGCCCCAUGAAAGACAGGAAACAAUUACUUGGUAUCCAUGGCGGACAUCAGGUAGAAAAGCAGCAAAUGGUGGUGCAAAGGGGAGGCUCAAAUGCCAAGGGAGAGGAGCAGGGCCUCGAAGCAGUGCAGCAAGUAAACGUACCCUGAGCAAGGAGG